UAGAAUGUAGUGUACAGGUAGCACAGGGAAUUUUGAGUUCUCUAGGUUAGGUUCGAUUCCUAUUAUUCUAG
RNAcentral lists this transfer RNA (71 nucleotides) under Proechimys semispinosus (Tome's spiny-rat). Its description in RNAcentral is "tRNA-Gln". It matches the Rfam family "tRNA". Rfam says of the family: Transfer RNA (tRNA) molecules are approximately 80 nucleotides in length. Their secondary structure includes four short double-helical elements and three loops (D, anti-codon, and T loops). Lineage: Eukaryota; Metazoa; Chordata; Mammalia; Rodentia; Echimyidae. The record is from RNAcentral.